RNAcentral lists this signal recognition particle RNA (261 nucleotides) under Desulfobacteraceae bacterium. RNAcentral's name for it is "signal recognition particle sRNA large type". It matches the Rfam family "Bacterial large signal recognition particle RNA". Rfam says of the family: The signal recognition particle (SRP) is a universally conserved ribonucleoprotein involved in the co-translational targeting of proteins to membranes. Archaeal SRP consists of a 7S RNA and homologues of the eukaryotic SRP19 and SRP54 proteins. In most bacteria, the SRP consists of a 4.5S RNA and the Ffh protein (a homologue of the eukaryotic SRP54 protein). Lineage: Bacteria; Pseudomonadati; Thermodesulfobacteriota; Desulfobacteria; Desulfobacterales; Desulfobacteraceae. The record is from RNAcentral.
CCGUGCUAGACGGGGAGCUAGCGGUGCCCUGUAACCCGAGAUCCGCUCAGCGGGGUUGAACGUCCUUCAGGAGAUCGCGGCAAAGAAGACCGGCUGACUGCCUGUGAGAUGGGAUGGACCUCACGUGACAACCGCCUGCGAACCCCGUCAGGUCCGGAAGGAAGCAGCGGUAAGAAGGACCGGUUGUGUCGUGAAGGUAUCUAUCCUUUAGUCUCCUGUAGAAAGCCGCUUCCGAGACGCGCAUUGAAUAAGGAUGCACGG